GGAUAUGGGGGUGAUCUGGCUGCAACAUCUGUCACCCCAUUGAUCACCAGUGUUGAUUCGGCUGAUCUGGCUGACUAGGAGGGUGUCCCCUUCCUCCCUCACAGCUCCAUGUGUGUCCCUCCCGAAGCUGCACACUUGGUCAAAGAGGAUGACCUUCCCCAAUAAAGGAGAGGACCAUUUUUUGGUCAAGGGUAUAUGAGUAGCUGUGCUCCCCUGCUAGACCCUCCAAACAAGCUCUCAAGAAGUAAAGAAUAGGCUUAUAGAGAUCAUGACCGCCCAGGCUUCUUACUUAUAUUUCAAAUUAUAAUCAUAUCAUGAUGGCUUUUG
RNAcentral lists this small nuclear RNA (327 nucleotides) under Neogale vison (American mink). Its description in RNAcentral is "Neovison vison (American mink) 7SK RNA (ENSNVIG00000010086.1)". It matches the Rfam family "7SK RNA". Rfam says of the family: 7SK was discovered as an abundant small nuclear RNA in the mid-70s but a possible function has only recently been suggested. Two independent studies have found that 7SK RNA binds the CDK9/cyclin T complex (known as elongation factor P-TEFb). Lineage: Eukaryota; Metazoa; Chordata; Mammalia; Carnivora; Mustelidae. The record is from RNAcentral.